UACGGGGGGAGCAAGCGUUGUUCGGAUUUACUGGGCGUAAAGGGCGCGUAGGCGGCCAGCACAAGUCAGUUGUGAAAUCUCCGGGCCUAACUCGGAAAGGUCAACUGAUACUGUGCGGCUAGAGUGCAGAAGGGGCAACUGGAAUUCUCGGUGUAGCGGUGAAAUGCGUAGAUAUCGAGAGGAACACCUGCGGCGAAGGCGGGUUGCUGGGCUGACACUGACGCUGAUGCGCGAAAGCCAGGGGAGCGAACGGG
RNAcentral lists this ribosomal RNA (254 nucleotides) under uncultured bacterium. Its description in RNAcentral is "partial 16S ribosomal RNA". It matches the Rfam family "Bacterial small subunit ribosomal RNA", at positions 524 to 776 of the family's 1533-position model. The record is from RNAcentral.